CUUAUUUGGUGGCGCACUUGGACAAGUUCUUGGUGGGCUAGCGUGUACUUCUAAAAAGUUAGAAAGGAAUACCCCAAGCCCGCUCAAGUAGCGGGCUUUUUGUU
Vibrio sinaloensis is the source of this 104-nucleotide non-coding RNA. NCBI's taxonomy places the organism in Bacteria, Pseudomonadati, Pseudomonadota, Gammaproteobacteria, Vibrionales, Vibrionaceae. The record is from Rfam.